CACCGCGGUUAAACGGGAGGCUCAAGUUGAUAGACAUCGGCGUAAAGCGUGGUUAAGGGCCCAACUUUUAUACUAAAGCCGAACGCUCUUAGAGCAGUUAUACGUACUGAGAGUAAGAAGAUCAAUUACGAAAGUAGCUUUACUCAAACCUGACCCCACGAAAGCUAAGGCA
RNAcentral lists this ribosomal RNA (172 nucleotides) under Morone saxatilis (striped sea-bass). RNAcentral's name for it is "partial small subunit ribosomal RNA". Lineage: Eukaryota; Metazoa; Chordata; Actinopteri; Moronidae. The record is from RNAcentral.